RNAcentral lists this ribosomal RNA (511 nucleotides) under uncultured bacterium. RNAcentral's name for it is "bacterial SSU rRNA". It matches the Rfam family "Bacterial small subunit ribosomal RNA", at positions 336 to 865 of the family's 1533-position model. The record is from RNAcentral.
CUCCUACGGGAGGCAGCAGUGGGGAAUAUUGGACAAUGGGGGCAACCCUGAUCCAGCAAUGCCGCGUGAGUGAUGAAGGCCUUCGGGUUGUAAAGCUCUUUCGGCGGGGAAGAUGAUGACGGUACCCGCAGAAGAAGCCCCGGCUAACUUCGUGCCAGCAGCCGCGGUAAUACGAAGGGGGCUAGCGUUGUUCGGAAUUACUGGGCGUAAAGGGCGCGUAGGCUGUGCUGUAAGUCAGGCGUGAAAUCCCCGGGCUCAACCUGGGAAUUGCGCAUGAUACUGCGGCGCUGGAAUGCAGGAGAGGAUGGCGGAAUUCCCAGUGUAGAGGUGAAAUUCGUAGAUAUUGGGAAGAACACCGGUGGCGAAGGCGGCCAUCUGGCCUGCAAUUGACGCUGAGGCGCGAAAGCGUGGGGAGCAAACAGGAUUAGAUACCCUGGUAGUCCACGCCGUAAACGAUGAGUGCUAGACGUCGGGGGGCUUGCCCUUCGGUGUCGCCGCUAACGCAUUAAGC